GAUGAGGAGUAUGAAUAGAAAGAAUUAGAAAAGCUACGGUGGUUGUUGAGCAGCGCCAAAAAAAACUCUGCUUUGCUCUGUUUCUGUGUUCGUCCGUACACUGUUCAUC
Molecule: non-coding RNA, 109 nt
Filed under: Oryza sativa (Asian cultivated rice)
Lineage: Eukaryota; Viridiplantae; Streptophyta; Magnoliopsida; Poales; Poaceae
Also listed under: 2 other names
Gene: osa-MIR416
Source: miRBase by way of RNAcentral